Molecule: RNase P RNA, 398 nt
Filed under: Pyxidicoccus parkwayensis
Lineage: Bacteria; Pseudomonadati; Myxococcota; Myxococcia; Myxococcales; Myxococcaceae
Description: Pyxidicoccus sp. SCPEA002 RNase P RNA component class A
Rfam family: Bacterial RNase P class A
About the family: Ribonuclease P (RNase P) is a ubiquitous endoribonuclease, found in archaea, bacteria and eukarya as well as chloroplasts and mitochondria. Its best characterised activity is the generation of mature 5'-ends of tRNAs by cleaving the 5'-leader elements of precursor-tRNAs. Cellular RNase Ps are ribonucleoproteins.
Source: RNAcentral
GGAGUGGUCCGGGUGAACGCUGGCCACCGCAGUCACGGGUGGCGGGAGGAAAGUCCGGGCUCCAGAGGGCAGGGUGCUGGCUAACGGCCAGUCGAGGCGACUCGCAGGAAAGUGCCACAGAAAACAAACCGCCCGUCCCGCAAGGGGCGGGUAAGGGUGAAACGGUGCGGUAAGAGCGCACCGCGUCCGGGGUGACUCGGACGGCACGGUAAACCCCACCUGGAGCAAGAGCCAAUAGGAGCGCGUCCCUCGCUGUUCGGGGGGACAGGGAUGGCCCGUCCCAGGCGUUCGGGUUGCUCGCUGAUGAGGUCCCUGGGCAACCAGGGCCCUAGAUGAAUGUUCGCCGCCCAUCCCGAAAGGGGUGGGAACAGAACCCGGCUUAGAGGACCACUCCGGCG